CUUAAUAAGACUGUGUGUGCUUUUAAGAAGAUUUCCUCUGCCAAAGUGAACUGGCUUAAAAGUGAAGCGGUCGCAGUUGGGAACGCUUCGACAGGGACACUGUGUCUACCUGCAGGCCUGACGUGGAGGUCAGGUGGGCUGAAAUACCUCGGAGUUUAUCUCGGGGAUGAGACCUUCAUUGCCCAGAAUUGGACUGGUGUUUUAGAAGCUGUUGAAGGUCGUUUGAAGAAAUGGAAGUGGAUCCUCCCACGGAUGUCAUACAGGGGCAGAGUCCUGGUGAUCAACAGUCUGCUCGCUUCCAUGUUGUGGCAUCGGCUGGUGACUGUGGAACCUCCAGGUGACUUGUUAGCGAGACUGCAGGCCAUGCUGGUGGAUUUCUUCUGGGAUCGAUUACACUGGGUUCAGCAAAGCGUGCUUUUCCUGCCAAAGGAGGAAGGGGGGCACGGUCUGAUACACCUAGCCAGCCGGGGAGCUGCCUUUCGCCUCCGCUUCAUCCAGCGGUUCCUGACCGCUCCUGCCGGCCUGGUGUGGCGACCUUUGGCGUGUGCCAUAUUGAAGCAGUGUGGAGGGCUGGGUCUGAGUGAGUCACUGUUCCUGAUGGAUUUUAAAGGUCGGACAAUGGAUAAGCUUCCGUCCUUUUACCAGGGAGUUUUUAAAGUUUGGAAACUUUUUUACCUUCGCCGUUCUGAGCCCUGUACUUCUUUGUCGUGGCUACUGAGGGAGCCGGUUGUGUUUGGGUCCCGUCUUGGAUGCGAGGCAGGAUCGUCCGCAAUCCUGAACAAACUUUGCAGCUCGAAGGUGCUAACCCUUGCGGACGUUGUGGUAUUUGCCGGCCCUCUCCUCAAAGAUGCCGACGGAUUGGCAUCGCAGAUCGGCGUCAGGUCGGUCAGGAUCGUCAGCCAUUUUCUCCGUCGACUCAAGGGCCAACUUGUGGAGUCUGAGCUACGGCUCCUUGCAGGUCACGGUAAGAGGCGAUGUGUGCCAGACCCCACAGAUACCUUCCCGGAGUGUGCGUUGAUGCCAAGAAUGACACAUCAUGGAGAGUUUUUAAGACUGAGGGCCUCUGCGGCCAUUUCGUUUGAGGAAACUGGGGGUCGGGAGUUUUACUACCUUUCUGUUAAAGUUUUAAAUCAGGUGAAACUAAGUGGUAGACCGGAUACUCCAUGGAGGUCACACUUGGCCCUGUGUGACUCACGAAAACCUGAGUGGAGUACACUGUACAAACCUCCACUGACUAAGAGGGGAGGGGACCUACAGUGGCGCAUUCUUCAUGGCGCAGUUGCAGUCAACUCUUUUGUGUCAAUUCUUGACCCCACGGUGUCUGAUCUGUGCCCUUUCUGCUCCCACAGGGAAACUGUUUUUCAUUGUUUUGUUGAGUGUUCUCGGCUUGCUGCCUU
This 1397-nucleotide long non-coding RNA is filed under the name Gouania willdenowi (blunt-snouted clingfish). RNAcentral's name for it is "lncRNA (ENSGWIG00000012077.1)". Lineage: Eukaryota; Metazoa; Chordata; Actinopteri; Blenniiformes; Gobiesocidae. The record is from RNAcentral.